Molecule: RNA transcript, 705 nt
Organism: Fragaria vesca subsp. vesca
Lineage: Eukaryota; Viridiplantae; Streptophyta; Magnoliopsida; Rosales; Rosaceae
Exons: 3
Source: RefSeq, a predicted model, not a curated record
ACACUCAUAAACCCGAAAGUUUUGGGAAUCGCAGAGAUGAGAGAAUAGGGGCUAGGUCAACUUUUCCGAUUCAAAUUCGCGGGAAUCGGUGGCGCUGGAUCUGAUGGCGGUAGAGAUCGAAUCGGUAGAGGUCGGUUGUUUCAGUGGUUCGGCGCGGCGGACAAGUCGGUGGCUCGAUUUGUCGGUCGCCGUCGAGUUUCUAGGGUUUCUCGAAGACGGAACAGGAAACCAUUACUCUGCUGUCCAGCAGUGGGGGUUCCACGUUCUCAUUUGAAAUAUGCACUUGUUGGAUCUGAUGGUAUUUCAAAGGUGGCGGUCAAACUAGUACUCAGCGGUUGGUUCAAUUUGUCCAUGACAGUUGACCGGAUAUAUUCUUUGGUUCUCCAUGAUGGAGCAGUUCAUGCUGUCGAUCAACAAGGCUAGUUGGAUGUCGGUGAAAGAUCAAUUUGCGGACGAAGGUCAAAAACAGUAGGAAGGGACCUUCAAGAGGGUGAGAUAAGGACUAAACAAUGGGACUGCCGACUUCUUUGCCGUGCUGAACUACUGGUUUUGUUAAUUAGUUAUGUGAAUGUUCAAUCUGCCCAAGAAUAGCAUAAGUGAAAAGAAAAUGGAACAAAACAAAAUUAAAGUAUAUGCGGGCCCUCAUUACAAGCAUUUAUGUGGGGCCAAAUUGUUUUUUUUAUAAGAAAACAGUCAUACUUAAUC